CCUACGGGAGGCAGCAGUAGGGAAUCUUCCGCAAUGGACGAAAGUCUGACGGAGCAACGCCGCGUGAGCGAUGAAGGCCUUCGGGUCGUAAAGCUCUGUUGUCAGGGAAGAACAAGUACCGAAGUAACUGCCGGUACCUUGACGGUACCUGACCAGAAAGCCACGGCUAACUACGUGCCAGCAGCCGCGGUAAUACGUAGGUGGCAAGCGUUGUCCGGAAUUAUUGGGCGUAAAGCGCGCGCAGGCGGUUCCUUAAGUCUGAUGUGAAAGCCCCCGGCUCAACCGGGGAGGGUCAUUGGAAACUGGGGAACUUGAGUGCAGAAGAGGAGAGCGGAAUUCCACGUGUAGCGGUGAAAUGCGUAGAGAUGUGGAGGAACACCAGUGGCGAAGGCGGCUCUCUGGUCUGUAACUGACGCUGAGGCGCGAAAGCGUGGGGAGCGAACAGGAUUAGAUACCCUGGUAGUCCACGCCGUAAACGAUGAGUGCUAAGUGUUAGAGGGUUUCCGCCCUUUAGUGCUGCAGCAAACGCAUUAAGCACUCCGCCUGGGGAGUACGGCCGCAAGGCUGAAACUUAAAGGAAUUGACGG
Molecule: ribosomal RNA, 587 nt
Filed under: uncultured bacterium
Lineage: Bacteria
Description: bacterial SSU rRNA
Rfam family: Bacterial small subunit ribosomal RNA
Source: RNAcentral